RNAcentral lists this ribosomal RNA (257 nucleotides) under uncultured bacterium. RNAcentral describes it as "partial 16S ribosomal RNA". It matches the Rfam family "Bacterial small subunit ribosomal RNA", at positions 1235 to 1500 of the family's 1533-position model. The record is from RNAcentral.
CGGCACAGAGGGAAGCCAGGUGGCGACACCGCGCGGAACCCGAAAGCCGUUCUCAGUUCGGAUCGGAGUCUGCAACCCGACUCCGUGAAGCUGGAUUCGCUAGUAAUCGCGCAUCAGCCAUGGCGCGGUGAAUACGUUCCCGGGCCUUGUACACACCGCCCGUCAAGCCAUGGGAGCCGGGGGUGCUUGAAGUGCGUCGCCGCAAGGCGCGCCCUAGAGCAAAACCGGUGACUGGGGCUAAGUCGUAACAAGGUAUC